CCUACGGGUGGCAGCAGUGGGGAAUAUUGCGCAAUGGGCGAAAGCCUGACGCAGCGACGCCGCGUGAGGGAUGAAGGUCUUCGGAUCGUAAACCUCUGUCAGCAGGGAAGAACGGUCACUGUGCUAAGCAGCAGUGAAUUGACGGUACCUGCAAAGGAAGCACGGGCUAACUACGUGCCAGCAGCCGCGGUAAUACGUAGGGGGCAAGCGUUAUCCGGAUUUACUGGGGGUAAAGGGAGCGUAGACGGCAAGGCAAGCCAGAGGGGAAAGGGCAGGGCUCAACCCUGUACAUGCUUUUGGAUCUUUGGUGCUAGCGUGCAGGAGAGGUAAGUGGCCUUCCUCGUGUAGCGGU
Molecule: ribosomal RNA, 352 nt
Filed under: uncultured bacterium
Lineage: Bacteria
Description: partial 16S ribosomal RNA
Rfam family: Bacterial small subunit ribosomal RNA
Source: RNAcentral